RNAcentral lists this ribosomal RNA (253 nucleotides) under uncultured bacterium. RNAcentral's name for it is "partial 16S ribosomal RNA". It matches the Rfam family "Bacterial small subunit ribosomal RNA", at positions 524 to 776 of the family's 1533-position model. The record is from RNAcentral.
UACGUAGGGAGCAAGCGUUGUCCGGAAUCAUUGGGCGUAAAGCGCGCGUAGGUGGCCACAUAAGUCCGUUGUGAAAGUCAAAGGCUCAACCUUUGAAAGCCGAUGGAUACUGUGUGGCUAGAGUACGGAAGAGGCGAGUGGAAUUCCUGGUGUAGCGGUGGAAUGCGCAGAUAUCAGGAGGAACACCAAUAGCGAAGGCAGCUCGCUGGGACGUUACUGACACUGAGGCGCGAAAGCGUGGGGAGCGAUCCGG